Molecule: non-coding RNA, 62 nt
Filed under: Tripos fusus
Lineage: Eukaryota; Dinophyceae; Gonyaulacales; Ceratiaceae
Source: RNAcentral
CGUCCGUGCAGCAGUGGAGGACUCUGGAUUAGCGCUGAAGCAUGCUGCGGCGGCUCUGCGGA